RNAcentral lists this long non-coding RNA (401 nucleotides) under Setaria italica (foxtail millet). RNAcentral describes it as "long non-coding RNA (SITA_LNC006381)". The record is from RNAcentral. Lineage: Eukaryota; Viridiplantae; Streptophyta; Magnoliopsida; Poales; Poaceae.
AAAGUAAAUCCAGCUCCGAGUUUCAGAAAUCACGCACGCAUACGUUUCGGUCUUUCUUGGCGAAGAGGCCGCCCAAGUUGAACCCGCCACCGCUGCCGCCGUCGCCGCUGCUGCUGGCAGGUUUCUUGCCGCCGGACGUGGUGACGUUUCAGUCUUUCUUGGCGAAGAGGCCGCCCAAGUUGAACCCGCCACCGCUGCCGCCGUCGUCGCUGCUGCUGGCAGGUUUCUUGCCGCCGGACGUGGUGCCGCCCCGCGGCUUGGCGCGCGAGGCGGCGGCCGGCGCGCCGUCGACCUUGUUGAGGAGCGGGUCCGUCUCGACGAGCUGGUCCUUCUUGAAGAUGGAGCUGAAGAUGAAGUCGACCAGGCUCUUCUCCUCCUUGGCCGGCGCCGGGCUGCCCCUG